This 266-nucleotide ribosomal RNA is filed under the name uncultured bacterium. RNAcentral describes it as "partial 16S ribosomal RNA". It matches the Rfam family "Bacterial small subunit ribosomal RNA", at positions 1234 to 1500 of the family's 1533-position model. The record is from RNAcentral.
CUCAAACAGAGGGAAGCAACACCGCGAGGUGAAGCAAAUCCCAAAAAAGUGUCUCAGUUCAGAUUGUAGGCUGCAACUCGCCUACAUGAAGUCGGAAUUGCUAGUAAUCGCGGAUCAGCAUGCCGCGGUGAAUACGUUCCCGGGCCUUGUACACACCGCCCGUCACACCAUGAGAGCCGGUAACACCCGAAGUCAGUAGCCUAACCGCAAGGGGGGCGCUGCCGAAGGUGGGAUUGGUAAUUGGGGUGAAGUCGUAACAAGGUACC